RNAcentral lists this long non-coding RNA (3390 nucleotides) under Nicotiana tabacum (common tobacco). RNAcentral's name for it is "long non-coding RNA (NTAB_LNC014708)". The record is from RNAcentral. Lineage: Eukaryota; Viridiplantae; Streptophyta; Magnoliopsida; Solanales; Solanaceae.
UAACAAAUAAGAAGAAAAUACAUGAUUUUUUACUAGUCAACAAGUAGAGACAUGAAUGACUAACAUAGAAAAAGGGCUUGUACUAAAAUGCAACAGAAUAAAUACGGCGUGAGUGUAAUUAUAAAAGCAAAGAAAUAGGCAUGAUAUUUGCAAGUUAAACAAACAGAAGAUAUGAGCGACAUAACAACAAUUAAUAUAGAGAUAAAUGACAGAACAAUAACAACUAGUCAUAUCAGAUAUGAGAUUGCGACAAUAACAGCUUAAGGUAAAGACAUGUACAUAUACACGGAAAAACAGAUAUCACAACAUAAUGCAUGUCCCUCAUCCUUACCUGCACGGAAACACCCAUCGUGCCAUGACCUCACGAUGAUAUAACAGUAUAAAUAAAAUGGCACGGCAUCACUCUUUGUUCUUUACACUCUCAUAACAUGGCACGACAUCACCCUCCAUGCUUUACACUCUCCCUCACAUGAUAAUGUACAAACAAUGGCACGACAUCACCCUUCAUGCUUUACACUCUUCCUUACCAAGCAUAUGUAUAUCAAUGACAACAAGGCAGGAAGCAUAAAUAACAUCAAUGAGAGUAUUUUAAUAGAUAUUCCAAACAAAUCUCAAUCACAACUUUCCAAGUCAACAAUGAUUUAACAACCCUCAAUAACCGUACUAUUCAAAUACUUCCACAAAUCUCACAAAUAAUUGACAACACAAGUAUAGAGUCUAGUAUCUCAAGAAUAUCGGCCAUAGUAACGUAGUAAUGAUUUCACAUAGAAAUGACCGAAUCAGACACAUCAAUGUAUUCUCAGAAUUUCCGCCAAGUUUGAUCAAGUUAUGAUAAGCUAAGUCUUGAUUUCUAUCAUUUGAUAUUGUGUUCUUAGUAUCUAAGAGUCAAGUGAGGCAUGAAGCAGGAAGGUCAUGAAAUUCUACAAAUACAAAUGUAACAUAAUCCAGCCCCCGAGCAUGAUUAACUCUGGCACAUAUAUAUACACCCGUCACCUCAUAUAUGUAUCAUCCCCACAUGUAGCAAACAAUGACAAAUAGGAGGAAAAAUUCCCGCAACAAAGUUAGGCAAAACACUUACCUCAAUUCGGCUAACUCAACACUCAAUUUAGCCUUUUUCCUUUACAAAUUCGCCUCUGCCCGGCUCAAUCUAGCCAACGACGACUUGAAUACAUCACACAAUGCAAGAGAAAAUAAUUUCAAUUAAUAAUGCUGUGAUUUUUAUUAGAUUUCUAAAAGUCAACAAAAGUCGAACUUCGGGCCUGCCCGGUCAAAAUCUGGAUCCAAGGGUAGGUCUUGACUAGCCAUAACCUCACGAGUCCAAAUACAUACAUAUAUAUAUAUAUAUAUAUAUAUAUAUAUAUAUUACUCUUUUUUUUGAAAUCCGAGUACUAUUCGACUCUCAAAUCCUAAAUUUUUAUUUUUCAAAACUUUGACAAAAUCUCAAAAAAAAAUUCCAUAGAUUCCUCAUGAAUUUGAUGUUAAAUCUUAUAUAAAAUCAUGAAAUAUAGUUGGAAAUUGAUUAGAAGCACUUACUCAAUGAUUUGGUAUGAAAAUCCCUUUCACAAAAUCGCCUCUCAUUGAAGUUAGGGAUCAAAAUAUAUGAAAAUGAAGCUAAGUCUCGAAAUUCUCAGCACUUAACACGUUGCAGAUGUCGCAUUUGCGAUAGGGGGUUCGCAAAUGCGAACAAUGUAUCGCAAAUGCAGACUGGAGGGCCUCCUGCUUAGGUCGCAAUUGCGACCAUAUGUCACACCUCCUUUUUCCCUACACCCCGUAGAGGGUAUAAGGGAGUUUUUUCCAAUUUAAGUGACAAUCGAAACGGGAUUAUUUAUUUAUUAAAAAUCAGAGUCGCCACUUGGGAUAAUUUAUGGUGUCCCAAGUCACCGAUUUAAAAUCCCGAAUCGAGGAAGUUGACUCUUAUUUAUGGUCCGCGAACACAGAAAUCCGGGUAAGGAAUUUUGUUAACCCGGGAGAAGGUGUUAGGCACUCCCGAAUUCCGUGGUUUUAGCACGGUCGCUUUGAUCAUACUUGGCUUAUAAAAAUUAUAUAAUUACUGAUUUUAGAACCUAUGUGCCUUUACCGCUUACCGCUUUUAAACUAAGAAAAAUUAUCUUGAAAUAGGUCACGCGUAUGUGUACCCAUUUGUUUGGCGCGUCAAGAAUUAUGUCACGUGUGCGUGUACACACAAUUCACAUCGCUUAAUUAAUUAUUAAGAAAAAUUUAGCCAAAGUUGCGCGAACGCAUACUUUGAAUUAGUUUUUAGAAUCGUAAUUAUGUUACGCGAACGUAUACACAAUCACGGGGAGAGAUUAGUAUCAGUACACAAAUAGUACAAAAGAACCCGUUUUUACUAUCAACAUAUUUUCACUUUUCGUAAUAGGUCAUCUACAAUAUUUUAGUAUUUUACAAGUCAUCGGUUGCAUUUUCUAUAAAAGCUACUUGGAACUUAUGUCAUAGCAACCGAAAAGCUUUUCCAGAUUCACGACAAAUUAAGAGUAAUCCUUUUGAACUCCCAAAUCUUCUUCUAUCAUACCAAUUAGUGGGAUUCAACAGCCUUAAAAAAAAUAGCACAAAUAGGUACAAUACUACAAUAAUCUAAGUAAUGAGCAAAUUCCAAAAAACAAUUGCACAAAGGAACAGAGAAAGCACCUAAACAACAAUAACAAAUUAGUCAAUGUUUAAACUAAAUUGCACUAAUGCAUGAUUCCCAGCCACAAUCCGAAUAUAAUUUAUUAGUAUACGUUAAUUGCACCUUCUCCAUUUUUGAGGGCAAUGGUGUGCCGCUCGAGAAGGAAUUGGUCCAGUAGAACAAAUUCUUCAAACGGAAAAUGACACCCAAAAAUAAAUAAAGCAUAGGAGAUAGUGAGAAGCAAAAAUUCAGUCAUUAAAACUUUGUGACACUAAUUAAUAGUUAAGGAAAUAACCACAUUUACAAAUUGCUUCAAUGCACUCGUUUCUGCCAGAAAUUGAAUGAGGAAAAGAAAAGGAAUCUGACCGUGAAAUGCAACAGUAGCAGGAGCUCGGACCGCGAAACCCGUCGGCAACCUCGAACUCGAACUCGCGCUUUACGAUUUGAACACCCAAAUUCCUAAAUUCAAAUUAUUCGGAACGAAGUUAGGCCAAAGUCGUUCUCCUCUGCUGUCUCCCACAAUUUUCGUUUGUGCUUGCGUGUGUGGAGUGACUUUCUUAAUUCUGGAGAGGAAAGGACGAUGAAGAUCUGAAAUGGGAGGGGGUUCUUUUUUGAUAAAAUUGGCAGAUGGUGUUUUUAGAGCCCCCUUCAAUUUAGGGAUUAGGUACUAUUAUAUAGGCAUAGGGAUUAAGUUAAAGGGUAUGAGCCUAGAAAUUAUGGGCUAGGGAGUUGUGGGUUAGGUCCAACAUUAGGCCUAAAAAUGG